RNAcentral lists this long non-coding RNA (8731 nucleotides) under Brachypodium distachyon (stiff brome). RNAcentral's name for it is "long non-coding RNA (BDIS_LNC002470)". Lineage: Eukaryota; Viridiplantae; Streptophyta; Magnoliopsida; Poales; Poaceae. The record is from RNAcentral.
CCGCACAAACCAAAACAAACCCAAGCAAGGAUAACACAAGCAACGAUGCGUCGCGAGGGACCGCAGCGCGGGUGGGUGCGAGUAUACAAUCUGGACCUGCUGAUCGACCCGGAGGCGGAAGGGGAACACAAGCAGCGGCGCGUCUCGGCGCACACGACCGUGGCGGGGACGUCGACGGUGGCCAAUGGCGGGUACAUCAGGGCGCCGCAGAAGCCCACCAACCACUCCAAGCCUUCCUGCGGCGGCAGCAUCUGCAAGGCGCUCAGCGGCAAGAGCGGCGGAUCGUCAGCGUCGGGGAAGGGGAGGCGCAAGUUCUGGCACGACAAAAUCAGGACGAUCUACCUCGAGAUGGCCGAUGGCAUCGACGGGCAGUUCGAUGAUGACAUGGAUUAGUUCAUCAGCGCACAUAUACAGCGUCGGCAUCGGGUUUAUGGGAGGAAGAGGGCCAGCUGACAGAACGAGAGAAAAUUCGAUGAGUUUGUAAAGCUGUGAUUUUUGUGAUGUCUGAAUCUUCUGUUAACGAGACGUUUCUUGUUAAAAAUAUAAUUACUGCACGUGAUAUUUGGUCUCAAAGUUUGAAAGUUUCUGUCGUGCCAUCUUAAGCGUUUAAAGUUCGAUUUCUAAAUUUGAGUGUUGCUAAUUUUCUGCUGUGCCGUAUUAAGUGUUCUAAGUUCAGUUCGAGUGUUGUUUUUUUUUCUUAUCUGAAAUUUUAAAAAGUCCUCGGUCAUUUUUUAUUUUAAGUAAAGUAGCGUUGCCUCUUUCUACGGGAUUCUUGCAGCAGAAGACAAUAAGAAGAGAGAAAAAACUGAGUCAUGGAAAUCCUAUUGUUCCCCGGCCGUCAAAAGAAAUCCUAUUGUUCUCACAACAAAACUUAAAUAUGCAUUGUCAAAAAAAUUUACAUAUGCAUUACAUCAUCGUCUUUAUAUAUCAAAGGGAGGACGACCGGGGUCGACCACGAGAGAAUACAAGGUUCAGAGAAACAAACUCGGAAAAGAAGAGAAAAAAGAGAGAGAGUUAAACAAGAAACUCAAGCUCAAGGAACAUCAUCAGGUCAUGAGAGCUCCCGCUUCCUGAAGUCACAACCGUUGCCAUGAUUCUAUCGACAUGAAUAAAAACUCAAAGAGAGAGUAGCAAGAGGAAUUAAAAGAAAAGCAAAACCAAAUAUAUUUCGGUGUACAUACCACACAUUUGUAGAACUCCUUCAGAAAGUUAUCCGGUGUUCGAGAGGUGUAUACCCUAACCCUCCUGUAGUUGCACGACGUGCACAUGACGAGCGACAUGUGAGGCCACACGCUCUUGCACCAUGCUCAAACUUUCUUUCCGGCCAUGGCACCCCACAAGACCAUUCGACUAGCUAGGCACCCCUUGAGUUGGAUAAAAAAAAAGAGGCCAUGAAGAGCAUUAAAGUCGGGCAUUAUCCGACGCCUGAACCCUUCAUCCGUUACAAGACACAAUGAACAGAGAGUAAAAGGACAUUAACCAGGAUGCCUUCACGACGAUAACGUUGCUGACUAGGCUAUUGUAUAAACUACCCUUUGUCGAAAUAUAUAAUGCAAGGAUGGAUCCCUAGCAUGGGGAGAUGACACUUAGACAAAACUCAUACUCUAUAACACAUCUCAUAUGAGCAAUCCCAUAUAAACAGGAGUAGGGUAUUACCUCUCUUGAGUUGAGGGCCUGAACUUGGGUAAAACUGCAUCAUGUGAAUCCCGUCGUACGUGUCGUCACUUGCAUACACCCAUUCUAUACACUACUGUAUGUCUACCCCAGUCGGCACACCAUGACAAGAAUCGACACUGGGAACGGCGGAGAUAGUGAUUUCGGAGUGGGGAAUUAGGGAUUUGGGUGUCGUAUUCGAGAAUUUGGGGGGAGGGAAUGUCAGUCACUGCGGGGAAAAAUUGCGCAAGGAGAUUUCUGGACAGGAAAAAAAGAUCCUACCUGAGCUCAUCAGUUGCCUCGUCAACACGCACAUGCUUAUCCGACGUGGCCCUUAAAAGAGCGGUUUGGACUAAACUAAGACAAUAUAAGUUUUGGCUACCGAUUUUAAGGAUUUUCAAGUUGUUGGACCAAAGUGAGUUGUAGUUGUUGUGCCACCGGUGCAAUUAUAUAUACUGUUACAAUGUUAGGACUAACUUUUCUUUCACAUAUAUACCUUUAUGACUAACUUGACUUAUGGCCUAUAUUGUGCUUCUUCUCUUUGAGCCUUUGAGGUAACCUGUACGGUGCUUUUACUCUGUUAACAAAAUGUUGUUUCAUAUUGAACAUUUUUUUACGUAUCGAUACAAUUUUUAUGAAUUUGAUGAGCAUUUUAUUUGAAAUGCAUGAUGUCUUUGUACUGAAAAUUGAAUUGACCUAUCGGGACAAUUUUGAGAUUGGCGAAAUUUUUUAAGGAAGCGUGCGCUACGCGUACUCCAGCAUAGCUCCUUCCAAAAAAAAAACCCCCAGCACAGUAGAAAAUUAAUGCCCAGAGGCCUAGACGCGUUCAUCUGUAACUGGUGGAUGCCGUGAUGAUAACGUAAACACACCGUGUCCCAGGUCCCAGCCCCCACUCCUGCUCAUACCAAACCGACUUGGACCCCAAGCAGCCAGCCGUAAUAGCGCUGACGAACUCGUGGAGUCGUGGCCGCCAAGGAACCGCGAGGAUUGCUAUAAAUACGGCACCGGCCGCUCCUCGUAUCGCCGCACAAACCAAAUCCAAUCCCAACAAGGAAAAAGAAGCAACAAUGCGUCGCGAGGGACGGCAGCGCGGGUGGGUGCGAGUCUACAAUCUGGACCUGCUGAUCGACCCGGAGGCGGAGGGUGAACACAAGCAGCGGCGCGUCUCGGCGCACACGGCCGUGGCGGGGACGUCGACGGUGGCCAACGGCGGGUACGUCAGGGCGCCGCGGAAGCCCACCAACCACUCCAAGCCUUCCUGCGGCGGCAGCAUCUGCAAGGAGCUCAGCGGCAGGGGCGGCGGAUCGUCGGCGUCAGGCAAGGGCAGACGCAAGUUCUGGCACGACGAGCUCAGGACGAUCUACCUCGAGGUGCAGGCCGAUGCCGUCGACGGGCGGUUCGAUCAUCGCUACUAUGACAUGGAUUAGUUCAUCGGCGCACAUAUGCAGUGGUGGCGUGGUGUUUCUGCGAGAAGAAGAUCAGGGGUUCAGGCAAGAAGAGUUGAGGAUCAGAUCAGGCAAGAGGAGCAAAGGUUGAUGGAUGUCUAGAGUGACUUCUGUGAUGUCUGAAUCUUCGUUAACAAUAACAAUGAGGCAAUGAGACUUUCUUGUGUUAAAAAUAAUAUAAUUAAUGUACUACAUAUUUCAUCUCUUUUUUUUUUGCGCAAACUGCAUAUUUCGUCUCAAAGUUUGAAAAUUUCUGUUGUGACAUCUCAAGCAUUUCAAUGCAACUUCUAAAUUUGAGUGUGGUUUUAAGUUCCGCUUUUGAAUUUGAGUGACGCUAAAUUCCUGUGGUGCCGUCUGAAGCACUUUAAGUUUGAUUUCUAAUUUGACUGUUGCUUUUAUUUAGGUGAAAUUGUUUUUAAUUCCCCAGUCCUUUUUUAGUGAUAGUGUUUAAUUUGCCCCUUCUUUCCACAGGAUUCUUGCAGCAGAAAUUCAAAACCACAACACAAAACAGUACAGAAAAACCACACGAAUGUAGAGAAAAGUGCUAAUACGUCAAAAGAAAUAUUGCGCAAAAUUAGCAUGUUAUCAAGAAAAUGCUUAGACGACAGACAGAGUUAGAUACAAUUGACAGGUUCAAUUUAGGAUCGGAGUGAGUAGAUCUGUCAUCACAAGAUUUCCUAACAUCAAUCUGAUGAACCUCGGCAUAUCGUCACACGGUGCGUGACAGUCACAUGGAACCAGUACCAAAUUUCUUCUUACAGAUGUGCAGUGUUGAACGCAGGCAAGACAAACAUUUUGAUUAAUCUACAAGUCCUGAACAAGGCAUGGCCUUAGACAAAUGGCCCCCACUAAGGCAAUCCAUCGUACUAAUCAGGAAUCUUACAACGUGGUUUCGACGGUGAUCACUGUAACUUGUCAGAGCUGUCCCUUAAUCAUCGCCUUUUUCAACUGUUAAUUCAAUACAAAAGAGCAGGCAGUGCGGUGCCAUAUUCACCUUGCAGCAUCUUCCAGUUGUAGCUCGCAACCAACAAUCAUUGAGGUUGCCAGGUUGGCUGGCUCCCCUGUUCCCAAGCUCCGACCUCGCACAACUAGACUAACCAUUCAUGAUGAUGGUGUAUGAGACAAAGCCAACACAUCUUAGUUACAGAAGUUCAGGAUGGAGACACUUUUCUGAUCUUGGUUUUGAACAGCAUCACGAUGAUCUUGUCCAUAGAAAAGUAGAGGAAACAACCUCUGGAGUGCGUCACGAAGGAGCCGUAGCUUGUACCGACAAUGCAGUGCCAUGUAGGUCCGUACACUUUAUCAAACUCCUGUUGAAUAUCAAGAAAGAUCCAUUAGAAAUUAAGCAAUGUAUUUUAUUUUCUUUCUAUUAAGCAGUGUAGUUAAAAUGGCAUAUCAAUAGUUGGCCUGAAAAGAAGAUUAGGUUUAUGCUGAGCAGAUCCGAAGUGCCAAUAUAGCACAUGAUGACUACAUUGAGUUCAACAUUACCAGCUGGCUACAACCUGUCUAAUUUGGCAGUUCAUAAAUUUGCCUCCAGAAAACUCACAUGAAAGAUAAAAGCAAAGAUUCAUUGGUGGAACAGAGUGGGUGCUUUAGAAAAUAUAAAACAAGAGAAAGAUCAAAAUUUGCAUGAAGCUCACCUUCUUCACAUCAUGGGCCAGCUGCCUCGAACUGAACUUGUCCAAGCUAUCAUGAGAUCGCUUAGCACAUCGGAACGCAUGCAACUGCAUGAACGGCGGCAUGUCUGCAGCCAUCACCUUCACCCCCAGCACCGCAACUACUUCUUUCAUGUUGAUCUGCAUCUCCGGCAUCGAUUUCCUCCCGGGCGCAAUGUCAAUGGUCUCCCUCUGUCCCAGGUCAGGAAGAUGCACUCUAGACUUCUCAAGGCAGAUAUCCUCAUCCUUCUGAAUGGUGAUGGGAUUUCGGGGCUUAACCUCGGAGGCAACGGAAUGGCUCGUCUCUUUGACGGUACCUCUCCACCUCCCACCGAAUAGCCACUGCUCUGCCUUUGUCCUCCUGCUACCAUGGCGGGCUGCCAUUCCUACCUAAGCGAACGUGUAUCCUUCCUUGCUGUGGUUAGCUGUGGAUCUCUAUAGUCCUAAAGCCAUCUAUAUAGCACUGUGGGGAAUGACAUGGGCAAACGGAAUCCUAUAGUGCAAUACUGAUUAACUAAUGGAUGAUGAGUUUGGAUUCUGUGCAAUGAGUGGGUGGGGGCAAGGGACAAAAUUUUCUUUACUUUGGAAAGGAGAUAAACAUAUAGAAAAGCGCAGACCAUGUGCAUGCUGCCUUGUUCUGCCAUAUGGUGCCCUGUAUGAUGGAAAAAUAUGGUGCAUAGAUUAGUUAAUGCAUCAAGGCCAGAUUUGGAGGAUCCCAAUGGCUCUUUAUGACAAGAACUACAAGUCUUCAAUCAAUUCACUAUGAAGCUCAUUCAUUAGGACAGCCUGCUUAUGCAAGGUUUCUGACAGAUCUUUUGUUUUCCAUGGCAAAUUUACUAAUCCAUGUUUCGUGUAGAAUUGUAAAAUGCCUCAAGUGAUGAAUGGUUCUCUCACCCUUGAGCAAUUCACAUUCCCACGAAGACUGGAACUUCUGUUUACACCAUUGAAUAUACACUGGCUAUAGCACUCAAUUUCACAGUUCAACCUACUUUCACAAUUCGAGCUCAAUGAUAGGACUGUAGAACAGAGACCAAUCACAACAAAUUAUUGGACAAGUAGCUCGUAGCUCACAGGAGUAUAAAUAAAAUAAGCAGAUAUUGAAAAUAAAAUAAGAUGUCUGUUUCUUGUGGUUUGCUGCACAUGGUAGGUAAACUGAAAUCAUAAGUUCUAAUUCAUACUUAUCUCUUGUUCUCAUAUCUGGCAAACUUAACUAAUGAAAUAUGAAAUAAUCAUAAUGAAGCAAUCUCAACAAUCCUGUAAUUCACACAAUUCUGUAGUGUUUCCUGUAUUGUCUGAUGUUCCCUUUACGGGGUCCUUAUUAGGUUAAGCCAUAUAUUCCUUCAUAUGACAGCAAACCCUCUUGCCUCACAUGGGGAAUGCUUCAGGUGUUGCAUGUUUCUAAAGAAUAGAGUGUCAAGUGCAAUAUAGCAUUCUUUCAAAUGUGAUUUGCGUUUUCAUUAUCAUGGUCUGCAAAUUGGUGCCUUUGAAACAAGGGAACUUUAAACUGCCAAGUGUCAAAAUUUGAAUACACCAUCAAAUUGAUAGGUCACACUUUUCUUGGAAGCUUGGGUAUUUAAGUAGAAAACAAUAUACUUGGAACUUGUAAUCAGACACACAGUUUGGCUUGAAAAGGUUUUUCCAACGUUCAAGUGACCGACUUGCUUCAGACCUGCCAUAGUUUGUAAAUGCUAACUCCAUAUUCCUAAGGAUCAUGUGAACAAGUAUCAUGAUGCUUAAAUAAUUAAUUAACUCUGCUAGACUGCUACCAACAAGUUUGAAGUUUCUUUUGUCCUCUCACUAGUCACUAAAUCAUUCCAUAGCCUCCACCUCAAUAACUGUUUCCUAGCUACAAUACGGAACAUAAUUGCUUCAUUGUCCUGAUUGCAAGGGAUUUUCAUAAAAUGCCUGUAGAAGAUGCUAGGAGAAAAGAUAAAUUUAGUACUACCAGAUAUCAUGACAACACAUUGUUAGUAAAAUCUUAAUGUAAACCUCUCCUAGUGCUUUUUGUUAUUCUCUCUUUAUAUCGAACCUUCUAAUUUUCUUGUCCUGAAGGCCCUUUCUGCACCUCAGAUUCUCAAAAUUUCUGAAUUACAAAGAUCACCUUUGCUCACCCAUAAAGUCACUGAAAUUGAUAUGUCAGUAAUAUUAUAUCAUAAAUAUGCUGCAUACCCAAUUUGGUUUUUCGAACCAUGGAUAGCACAACUGCAUGGAUUUGAUCAUUUGAUACCUUUUGCUAGUCAGUUAGAGUAUAUUAAGCCUCCAUGUUAACAAAACGGCACCAAUCAUAGUAAGUCAAACUACUAAAGCACAAAUAAUAAUCAACGAUGAAAAACAAAACACAACCAAACCUCCAAAUGCAAUAUGAGCAAUUCAACUACCCACGAUAGUUUACACAAAUUUCCUGCUUACCUGACGAAGGGGUGUUUCUAUGCUCUUCCACAACUAGUUUGCAUGAAUCAAAACAAUGCGCCGUGGUAGUUAAUCGUAAGGAAAGAUCAUUAAAGAUUACUUGCUACUACCAGUGUUCAAACUAAUUUGUCACUGGUUUAACUUUGAUGAAAGACAUCUACAAUUUCUCAUUUGAAAAAAAUGUGAAAAGGCAUGCAAAUGUACCUUUAAAACUAUGAAAACUAGGCGGCAAAAGGAUAGAGAAUACUUUUUUCGUGAGUACCUAGUUGAUGUGGGAACUGGGAUGUGAUAUGAACAAAAAUAUUUUGGUGUGACGCACAAUCCUGCAUGAACUGUCAAUUAUUUGGUGAUGUUUUCAUUUCGGUAGCACGUAUUGAACCAACAUCUACAUGGUGUCUUUUGAUCGUUUAUAGCAUGAAACCACCAUUGUCAAACUACAGUAUUUUCUUUUUUCUAUUUGAUGUUGAUGAUGAUCCAGUCCCAAAAAUGGACCAAAAAGGCAUAUUGCACUUGUUCAUCGGAUGUACCGUAUCAACUAUAACAACACAUCUAAAUGAUAGGCCAUGAGAGAUUGUUAUUUUCGAGGAACUGGCAGGAGCACUGCCUUCCAAUUUAGAGGAAAGAAUCAGUAUUUACAGAAAAAAGGUUUCAGAGGGGCCAAAACCAGCAUAAUCCCAACAAAAUACGGACUACUUGCGAAAGAAAAUACGACAUGAGAGUGCGAAUGCCGGCCAAGGCCAAAGCUGCCACCUCCCCAUAGGUCAGCCUCUUGCCGGUAAAGACAUGGCAGUUCCUUUCCGUCAAGAUGUUCCACAUGAGGUAGAUUAGGUUCCCAUUGCACUCCCAGGGCAUGCCUCCAAAAGACAGGGUCGGGACUUUCUCCCACCAAUUAUCGAUGUUCUAGGUGUGCGUUGUAUGUGUCAGGGCGGGGAGGCCAAGCCCUAUUCUCACCGUCGAGUCAUGGACCAAACAGCCUAGGAGAAGGAGCAGUCCUAGCAGAGGUGAGAGACCGUCUCGUUGGUAGUAAGGCAUAGGUGGCACAACAGGUUGUGUAUCCAUCCUUGGAUUGCCAGAUUUUCCAUGGUCAGGAAUUUCCCUUGGAGUACAUGCCUGGAGAAGAGCUUGUAUUUGGGCUCUGCUUCCACCUUCCAGGUCUUCCUGGGCUUGAAGGCUCUUUGCUCCCCCAAAGAAUUGAGUCACAUAGGCAGGAGGCUGUAUAUUCUCCCGAGGGAAGAUUCCGGCAUCAUCAACAUAUAGCAAGAUUUCCAUAAGGAUAGAGAGGGUCGAUCACAACGAUGAAUAGCACGAGUGAUAGGGGGUCUCCCUGCUGGAGGCCCCGGACAUGCCAGAAUGGAGUACCAGGGAUCCGUUGAGGAGCACGCGGGAAGACAAAGUGAAUACGGAGAGGGAGACUCAGUCCCUCCCAUCUUUAGCCAAAUCCCAGAUUCUGCAGACCUCGAGGAGGUGCGGCCAAUUCACAGAGUAACGCCUUUGAAAUGUCAAGUUUGAGGAACAAGCUGGGUUUUGCUUCAGUGCAGCUCUUUGAUCAGGUUCUGAACCUGCAAGAAA